This 512-nucleotide ribosomal RNA is filed under the name uncultured bacterium. Its description in RNAcentral is "bacterial SSU rRNA". It matches the Rfam family "Bacterial small subunit ribosomal RNA", at positions 28 to 526 of the family's 1533-position model. The record is from RNAcentral.
GACGAACGCUGGCGGCGUGCUUAACACAUGCAAGUGGCGCGACGAACCGGGCUUCGGCCCGGGGCAAAGCCGCGAACGGGUGAGUAACACGUGGGUAACCUGCCCCGAAGACCGGGACAACCCGGGGAAACCCGGGCUAAUACCGGAUGUGCUCACCACUCUCAAGGGUGGUGAACAAAGGAAGCUUCGGCCUCCGCUUCGGGAGGGGCCCGCGGCCCAUUAGCUUGUUGGUGAGGUAACGGCUCACCAAGGCGACGAUGGGUAGCUGGUCUGAGAGGACGAUCAGCCACACUGGGACUGAGACACGGCCCAGACUCCUACGGGAGGCAGCAGUGGGGAAUCUUGCGCAAUGGGCGACAGCCUGACGCAGCAACGCCGCGUGGGGGAAGACGGCCUUCGGGUUGUAAACCCCUUUCAGGAGGGACGAAGCUUCGGCAGCGAAUAGCUGUCCGGAGUGACGGUACCUCACUAAGAAGCCCCGGCUAACUACGUGCCAGCAGCCGCGGUAAAAC